Long non-coding RNA from Pundamilia nyererei, 425 nucleotides. RefSeq lists it as uncharacterized. Lineage: Eukaryota; Metazoa; Chordata; Actinopteri; Cichliformes; Cichlidae. The record is from RefSeq and is a predicted model, not a curated record. The transcript has 3 exons.
GCAUUACCAAUAUGUGUGAAAAGUUGACCAGCCAUCAUUGAUGGUCAGGAAAAAUUAAGCAUCACUAAUCUAUAUUUGUGAAAGAGGAAGCAGUACUGUCAUGGCAGAUCAAGGUGAAAUGAAGUGCCAGGAGGAUGAUCUGUCAUCAGACAUACAAGAUUGGAGUAAACAUCAAGUGAGGCAAUGGGUUCUCCAAUUGGAUCGCGUGGAUGACAAAGUUGCUGAAAUAUUGUUUAAUGAAGACAUCAAUGGUGAAAGUCUUCUGCUUUUAGAUACAACUGACUUAACCAAAAUUGGUGUGACUUUUGGACCGGCUAAACUUCUCAUUCGUGCCAGAGAUGAAGUUGUGAAAUUUAAAAAAGAAGAGCCAGUAGGUUCUAGAAACCAGCCUGGGAAACCGUGCAAGCCGUAUCCAUUUUGUAGAU